Molecule: ribosomal RNA, 388 nt
Filed under: uncultured fungus
Lineage: Eukaryota; Fungi
Description: eukaryotic LSU rRNA
Rfam family: 5.8S ribosomal RNA (bases 1-113)
Source: RNAcentral
AACGCAGCGAAGGGCGAUACGUAAUGUGAAUUGCAGAAUUCAGUGAAUCAUCGAAUCUUUGAACGCACAUUGCGCUCUCUGGUAUUCCGGAGAGCAUGCUUGUUUGAGUAUCAGCAAAACACCCUCAGUUCUCUUUUUGAGAACUGGACUUGAGUUAGUCCCAACGGCGGUUUCAAAAACUACUGGCGGGUCGCUUGAAAUGCAGGUGCGGCUGGACACAUCUUCUGAGCUAUAAGCAUUACUUAUUUAAUCCCGUCAGACGGAUUAUUUCUACUGCUACAGCUAAUAUAAAGGUCGAUUGUCCGUUUGCCCGACUGAUGUAGAAAAAACAGAGAGAAAUCUUUGUUCACUCGAUCUCAAAUCAAGUAAGACUACCCGCUGAACUUAA